This 468-nucleotide ribosomal RNA is filed under the name uncultured bacterium. RNAcentral's name for it is "partial 16S ribosomal RNA". It matches the Rfam family "Bacterial small subunit ribosomal RNA", at positions 28 to 507 of the family's 1533-position model. The record is from RNAcentral.
GACGAACGCUGGCGGCGUGCUUAACACAUGCAAGUCGAACGGAAAGGCCCUGCUUUUGUGGGGUGCUCGAGUGGCGAACGGGUGAGUAACACGUGAGUAACCUGCCCUUGACUUUGGGAUAACUUCAAGAAACUGGGGCUAAUACCGGAUAGGAGCUCCUGCUGCAUGGUGGGGGUUGGAAAGUUUCGGAGGUUGGGGAUGGACUCGCGGCUUAUCAGCUUGUUGGUGGGGUAGUGGCGUACCAAGGCUUUGACGGGUAGCCGGCCUGAGAGGGUGACCGGCCACAUUGGGACUGAGAUACGGCCCAGACGCCUACGGGAGGCAGCAGUGGGGAAUAUUGCACAAUGGGCGGAAGCCUGAUGCAGCAACGCCGCGUGCGGGAAGACGGCCUUCGGGUUGUAAACCGCUUUCGCCUGUGACGAAGCGUGAGUGACGGUAAUGGGUAAAGAAGCACCGGCUAACUACGUG